RNAcentral lists this ribosomal RNA (788 nucleotides) under uncultured Acidobacteriota bacterium. Its description in RNAcentral is "bacterial SSU rRNA". It matches the Rfam family "Bacterial small subunit ribosomal RNA", at positions 37 to 861 of the family's 1533-position model. Lineage: Bacteria; Pseudomonadati; Acidobacteriota. The record is from RNAcentral.
UGGCGGCGCGCCUAACACAUGCAAGUCGAACGAGAAAGCCGGGCAACUGGUGAGUAAAGUGGCGUACGGGUGAGUAACACGUGGAUGAUCUACCUCCUUGUGGGGAAUAACCCUGGGAAACCGGGGCUAAUACCGCAUAAGUCCGGGAGAAAGCAGCAAUGCGCUGGGAGAGGAGUCCGCGGCCGAUUAGCUAGUUGGCAGGGUAAAAGCCUACCAAGGCAAAGAUCGGUAGCCGGCCUGAGAGGGCACACGGCCACACUGGCACUGAAACACGGGCCAGACUCCUACGGGAGGCAGCAGUGGGGAAUCUUGCACAAUGGGGGAAACCCUGAUGCAGCGACGCCGCGUGAGCGAUGAAGCCCUUCGGGGUGUAAAGCUCUUUCGGCAGGGAAGAUUAUGACGGUACCUGCAGAAGCAGCUGCGGCUAACUACGUGCCAGCAGCCGCGGUAAUACGUAGGCAGCAAGCGUUGUUCGGAGUUACUGGGCGUAAAGGGUGUGUAGGCGGUUGCUUAAGUUUGGUGUGAAAUCUCCCGGCUCAACUGGGAGGGUGCGCCGAAUACUGAGUGACUCGAGUGCGGGAGAGGAAAGUGGAAUUCCUGGUGUAGCGGUGAAAUGCGUAGAUAUCAGGAGGAACACCGGUGGUGUAGACGGCUUUCUGGACCGUAACUGACGCUGAGACACGAAAGCGUGGGUAGCAAACAGGAUUAGAUACCCUGGUAGUCCACGCCCUAAACGAUGCACAUUUGGUGUGGGUCAUUCAGUUGAUCCGUGCCGGAGCUAACGCGUU